RNAcentral lists this ribosomal RNA (502 nucleotides) under uncultured bacterium. RNAcentral's name for it is "bacterial SSU rRNA". It matches the Rfam family "Bacterial small subunit ribosomal RNA", at positions 36 to 518 of the family's 1533-position model. The record is from RNAcentral.
CUGGCGGCAUGCCUAAUACAUGCAAGUCGAGCGAAUGAUGAAGAAGCUUGCUUCUUCUGAUUUAGCGGCGGACGGGUGAGUAACACGUGGGCAACCUACCCUAUAGAUUGGGAUAACACAGGGAAACCUGUGCUAAUACCGAAUAAUACCUUUCUCUUCAUGGAGGAUGGUUGAAAGAUGGUUUCGGCUAUCACUAUAGGAUGGGCCCGCGGCGCAUUAGCUAGUUGGUGAGGUAAUGGCUCACCAAGGCAAUGAUGCGUAGCCGACCUGAGAGGGUGAUCGGCCACACUGGGACUGAGACACGGCCCAGACUCCUACGGGAGGCAGCAGUAGGGAAUCUUCCACAAUGGGCGAAAGCCUGAUGGAGCAAUGCCGCCGUGAGUGAUGAAGGAUUUCGGUUCGUAAAACUCUGUUGUAAGGGAAGAACAAGUAGCGUAGUAACUGGCGUUACCUUGACGGUACCUUAUUAGAAAGCCACGGCUAACUACGUGCCAGCCGCAGC